AUUGAACGCUGGCGGCAGGCCUAACACAUGCAAGUCGAGCGGAUGAGAGGAGCUUGCUCCUUGAUUCAGCGGCGGACGGGUGAGUAAUGCCUAGGAAUCUGCCUGGUAGUGGGGGACAACGUUUCGAAAGGAACGCUAAUACAGCAUACGUCCUACGGGAGAAAGCAGGGGACCUUCGGGCCUUGCGCUAUCAGAUGAGCCUAGGUCGGAUUAGCUAGUAGGUGGGGUAAUGGCCCACCUAGGCGACGAUCCGUAACUGGUCUGAGAGGAUGAUCAGUCACACUGGAACUGAGACACGGUCCAGACUCCUACGGGAGGCAGCGGUGGGGAAUAUUGGACAAUGGGCGGAAGCCUGAUCCAGCCAUGCCGCGUGUGUGAAGAAGGUCUUCGGAUUGUAAAGCACUUUAAGUUGGGAGGAAGGGCAGUUAGUUAAUACCUGACUGUUUUGACGCUACCAACAGAAUAAGCACCGGCUAACUUCGUGCCAGCAGCCGCGGUAA
RNAcentral lists this ribosomal RNA (500 nucleotides) under uncultured bacterium. RNAcentral describes it as "partial 16S ribosomal RNA". It matches the Rfam family "Bacterial small subunit ribosomal RNA", at positions 30 to 523 of the family's 1533-position model. The record is from RNAcentral.